UACGGGGGGGGCAAGCGUUGUUCGGAAUUACUGGGCGUAAAGGGCUCGUAGGCGGCCAACUAAGUCAGACGUGAAAUCCCCAGGCUUAACCUGGGAACUGCGUCUGAUACUGGAUGGCUUGAAUUCGGGAGAGGGAUGCAGAAUUCCAGGUGUAGCGGUGAAAUGCGUAGAUAUCAGGAGGAACACCCGUGGCGAAAGCGGCUCUCUGGGACGGUACUGACGCUGAGACGCGAAAGCGUGGGGAGCAAACAGG
RNAcentral lists this ribosomal RNA (253 nucleotides) under uncultured bacterium. Its description in RNAcentral is "partial 16S ribosomal RNA". It matches the Rfam family "Bacterial small subunit ribosomal RNA", at positions 524 to 776 of the family's 1533-position model. The record is from RNAcentral.